GACGAACGCUGGCGGCGUGCCUAACACAUGCAAGUCGAGCGGAGAUAAGGAGCUUGCUCCUUAUCUUAGCGGCGGACGGGUGAGUAACACGUGAGUAACCUGCCUUACAGAGGGGGAUAACACACCGAAAGGUGUGCUAAUACCGCAUAACCCUGCAGUGUCGCAUGACACAGCAGGCAAAGGAGUAAUCCGCUGUUAGAUGGACUCGCGUCUGAUUAGCUAGUUGGUGAGGUAAUGGCUCACCAAGGCGACGAUCAGUAGCCGGACUGAGAGGUCGAUCGGCCACAUUGGGACUGAGACACGGCCCAGACUCCUACGGGAGGCAGCAGUGGGGGAUAUUGCGCAAUGGGGGAAACCCUGACGCAGCAACGCCGCGUGAAGGAUGAAGGUCUUCGGAUCGUAAACUUCUGUCUUUGGGGAAGAAUAAAUGACGGUACCCAAGGAGGAAGCCACGGCUAACUACGUGCCAGCCGCCGCAGUAAAAC
RNAcentral lists this ribosomal RNA (485 nucleotides) under uncultured bacterium. Its description in RNAcentral is "bacterial SSU rRNA". It matches the Rfam family "Bacterial small subunit ribosomal RNA", at positions 28 to 526 of the family's 1533-position model. The record is from RNAcentral.